This is a long non-coding RNA of Strigops habroptila (Kakapo), 185 nucleotides long. RefSeq lists it as uncharacterized. The transcript is spliced from 4 exons. Lineage: Eukaryota; Metazoa; Chordata; Aves; Psittaciformes; Psittacidae. The record is from RefSeq and is a predicted model, not a curated record.
UCUGUGGGACAAUGCCUGAGCUGGCCCUGGUGCAGAAGCAGAGCUGUGGUGAGCUCCAGAUCCUGAUCCUGUGCUCUUCAGACCCAGUCCUUUACACUGAGCUGAUGAGUAUAUGGAGGGUGCCUGCAAAGUGUAGGAGAGAGGUCAGAGAUGGCUCCAGGCAGUGGAGGAAGAAGUGCAAGAAG